Molecule: long non-coding RNA, 2511 nt
Filed under: Brassica rapa (field mustard)
Lineage: Eukaryota; Viridiplantae; Streptophyta; Magnoliopsida; Brassicales; Brassicaceae
Description: long non-coding RNA (BRAP_LNC000768)
Source: RNAcentral
AGUGGAGUGCGGUGAAAGAGGUGGAAAGGGAGAGCUGCGGAUGGGAAAUCGGGGAAAGGUUGGGGUGAAAUGGGAAGGGAAGGAAGUUGAGCGCGGUGAAAGGGGUGGAAAGGGAGAGUUGCGGAGGGGAAGUCGGAGAAAGGGUGGGGUGAAAUGGGAUGUGAAGGAAGUGGAGAUGGCGGGUGGAAAGCGUGGGGAGCGAGAAGCCGUGCGGGAGUGGCGAAGAAACACCGUGGCGAUUCGAAACAUUUUGAAAAGUGGGGACAAGUUAGGUUUUCGUUGUCUUUUGAUUAAAAAGAUGAGUGUGAAAAGUUGAGUGUUACCUUAUAUAGAGGCAGAGAGCUAGUUCAACAAGUGGGAUGCUCACUAGGAUUGUGGGCUGAGCCAUGGAGCAAUGAAUGUGGUCUGGGCUGCUUCUCAAGGACGCAUCAAACUCGCCAGAUUGUGGGCUGGGCCAUGAAGCAAUGAUUGUGAGCUGGGCUGCUUCUCAAGGACGCAUCAAACUCGCCAGAUUGUGGGUUGGGCAAUGGAGAAUUGAUUGUGGGCUGGGCUGCUUCUCACGGACGCAUCAAACUUGCCAGAUUGUGGGCUGGGCCAUCAAAUGAUGGCCCAUUGGGCUUCUUGGUGGAUCGCGGGUCAUAGGAGUAGGGUCAUAGGAGUUGCUUUGCGGAUCGCGGAUCAUCAUAGGAGCAGAUUGGGGAGCAAAAGAAUCAUAUAGACGCAAAGGAAAAUAAAACAAGAACAACUCAAAUUCAAAAAAAAAAACAAAAAAAGAGGUGGAAAGGGAAAGCUGCGGAGGGGAAAUCGGGGAAAGGGUGGGGUGAAAUCGGAAGAGAAGGAAGUUGGGCGCGGUGAAAGGGGUGGAAAGGGAGAGUUGCGGAGGGGAAGUCGGGGAAAGGGUGGGGUGAAAUGGGAAGGGAAGGAAGUGGAGCGCGGUGAAAGGGGUGGAAAGGGAGAGCUGCGGAGGGAAAAUCGGGGAAAUGACAGGGUGAAAUUGGAAGGGAAGGAAGUUGAGCGCAGUGAAAGGGGUGGAAAGGAAGAGUUGCGGAGGGGAAGUCGGGGAAAAGGUGGGGUGAAAUGAGAAGGGAAGGAAGUGGAGCGCGGUGAAAGGGGUGGAAAAGGAGAGUUGCGGAGGAGAAGUCGGGGAAAUGGUGGGGUGAAAUGGGAAGGAAAGGAAGUGGAGCGCGGUGAAAGGGGUGGAAAGGGAGAGUUGCGGAGGGGAAGUCGGGGAAAAGGUGGGGUGAAAUGGAAAGGGAAGGAAGUGGAGCGCGGUGAAAGGGGUGGAAAGGGAGAGCUGCGGAGGGGAAAUCGGGGAAUGGCGGGGUGAAAUGGGAAGGGAUAGAAGUUGAGCACAGUGAAAGGGGUGGAUAGGAAGAGUUGCGGAGGGGAAGUCGGGGAAAGGGUGGGGUGAAAUGAGAAGGGAAGAAAGUGGAGCGCGGUGAAAGGGGUGGAAAAGGAGAGUUGCAGAGGAGAAGUCAGGGAAAGGGUGGGGUGAAAUGGGAAGGAAAGGAAGUGGAGCGCGGUGAAAGGGGUGGAAAGGGAGAGCUGCGGAGGGGUAGUCGGAGAAAGGGUGGGGUGAAAUGGGAAGGAAAGGAAGUGGAGUGCGGUGAAAGGGGUGGAGAGGGAGAGCUACGGAGGAGAAAUCGGGGAAAUGGUGGGGUGAAAUGGGAAGGGAAGGAAGUUGAGCGCAGUGAAAGGGGUGGAAAGGGAGAGUUGCGGAGGGGAAGUCGGGGAAAGAGUGGGGUGAAAUGGGAAGGGAAGGAAGUGGAGCGCGGUGAAAGGAGUGGAAAGGGAGAGCUGCGGAGGGGAAAUUGGGGAAAUGGUGGGGUGAAAUGGGAAGGGAAGGAAGUUGAGCGCGGUGAAAGGGGUGGAAAGGAAGAGUUGCGGAGGGGAAGUCGGAGAAAGGGUGGGGUGAAAUGAGAAGGCUAGGAAGUGGAGCGCGGUGAAAGGGGUGGAAAAGGAGAGUUGCGGAGGAGAAGUCCGGGAAAGGGUGGGGUUAAAUGGGAAGGGAAGGAAGUGGAGCGCGGUGAAAGGGGUGGAAAGGGAGAGCUGCGGAGGGGAAAUCGGGGAAAGGGUGGGGUGAAAUGGGAAGGGAAGGAAGUGGAGAUGGCGGGUGGAAAGCGUGGGGAGCGAGAAGCCGUGCGGGAGUGGCGAAGAAACACCGUGGCGAUUCGAAACAUUUUGAAAAGUGGGGACAAGUUAGGUUUUCGUUGUCUUGUGAUUAAAAAGAUGAGUGUGAAAAGUUGAGUGUGAAAAGUUGAGUGUUACCUUAUAUAGAGACAGAGAGCUAGGUCAACAAGUGGGAUGCUCACUAGGAUUGUGGGCUGAGCCAUGGAGCAAUGAUUGUGGGCUGGACUGCUUCUCAAGGACGCAUCAAACUCACCAGAUUGUGGGCUGGGCCAUGAAGCAAUGAUUGUGAGCUGGGCUGCUUCUCAAGGAUGCAUCAAACUCGCCAGAUUGUGGGUUGGGCCAUGGAGAAUUGAUUGUGGGCUGGGCUGCUUCUCACGGACG